AACGCAUAUUGCGCCCAACACCUCGGUGAAGGGCAUGUCUGCCUCAGCGUCGGGUUAAUAUCACCCAAUCAAACCCUGUGUGGUUUAAUAGGGUGGACCUGGUAGUCUCAGCCCGCAAGGGCUGGGUCUGCUGAAGCACAGAGGUUGAUGUAUGGACCCGUCAAGGGCCGCAACUGGGUAGGCAUGUCAAUGCUUCUAGUUGUUGGCUUGGGACGUGCAAUCGACCCUCAAACAGGAACCUAACCUUAUUUCCUCGACCUGAGCUCAGGCAAGAACACCCGCUGAACUUAA
Molecule: unclassified non-coding RNA, 291 nt
Filed under: uncultured fungus
Lineage: Eukaryota; Fungi
Description: partial contains 5.8S ribosomal RNA, internal transcribed spacer 2, and large subunit ribosomal RNA
Source: RNAcentral